RNAcentral lists this ribosomal RNA (253 nucleotides) under uncultured bacterium. Its description in RNAcentral is "partial 16S ribosomal RNA". It matches the Rfam family "Bacterial small subunit ribosomal RNA", at positions 524 to 776 of the family's 1533-position model. The record is from RNAcentral.
UACGUAGGGUGCAAGCGUUGUCCGGAAUUAUUGGGCGUAAAGAGCUUGUAGGCGGUUUGUCGCGUCUGCUGUGAAAUUUCGGGGCUCAACCCCGAACUUGCAGUGGGUACGGGCAGACUAGAGUGUGGUAGGGGAGACUGGAAUUCCUGGUGUAGCGGUGAAAUGCGCAGAUAUCAGGAGGAACACCAGUGGCGAAGGCGCCGCUCUGGGCCGAGACUGACGCUGAGGAGCGAAAGCAUGGGGAGCGAACAGG